Molecule: long non-coding RNA, 187 nt
Organism: Carassius auratus (goldfish)
Lineage: Eukaryota; Metazoa; Chordata; Actinopteri; Cypriniformes; Cyprinidae
Exons: 2
Source: RefSeq, a predicted model, not a curated record
GUAUUUGGUUUGUGAUUAUAUCAAAUGCUUGUACAGAAAAUGGAUUCAGUGCACAAUGUUUGGGAUGAGUCAGCGGUCAGAGGUGUUGAGCUGAAUUAUAUCACUGUGCUGCAGUUAUGGAGCCUGUAGAAAUGAGUGAGAAUUUGAUAUCUUUGGUGCAUAUUCCUAAAUAAAAUAUAAUUUUGCC